GCAGGUGCAUGCAUGGAAGUUGGUGCGAUUCUCAUAUAUCUCCCUCCAUUUUUUUACCUUCCUCUUUUUAGGUCAAAGUAUAAUGUGUUUGAGGCAUUGUCUGGAGAUGUAGUUUGCUAGUGUAUAUUUUCCCAUCUUGAUAGAUAUUUCCUCUCUUAGUUGAUAUUUUACCUUGAAGACAGGGCCACAUAGAUCAUGAUGACUUGUGAGUUAGCUUUAGCAGAAAGUAGCAUUCAUGUUAUUGCUUUUUCAUGUGGAGAACUCUUCCUUGGACAUGUUUUGUUCCCCAAUUUUGAGUUCCAUCAUUUAGUAUGUGCAUCUACUUCUCCAUACAUGCAAUGCACUUAUUUGCGGAUUCAAGUAAACUCUUUUCCAUUGGAUUUUUUUUCCUUGGAAAUUAUAAUUCUGGACUACGAAUUUUUCUUUGGUGAUCAUUUUGCCCCUGCACUCUGUCAUCAGACUUAAUUUGUACCUUGUGAAUUUAACAUAUAAGAUGCUGUUGUUCUAUGGCAGGUAUGUGCGAGAAUGGUUUGCCA
Molecule: unclassified non-coding RNA, 536 nt
Filed under: Hevea brasiliensis (rubber tree)
Lineage: Eukaryota; Viridiplantae; Streptophyta; Magnoliopsida; Malpighiales; Euphorbiaceae
Source: RNAcentral